RNAcentral lists this ribosomal RNA (509 nucleotides) under uncultured archaeon. RNAcentral describes it as "bacterial SSU rRNA". It matches the Rfam family "Archaeal small subunit ribosomal RNA", at positions 325 to 834 of the family's 1478-position model. The record is from RNAcentral.
ACGGGGUGCAGCAGGCGCGAAAACUGACCAAUGCGCGAAAGCGUGAGUCGGUCAAUCCGAGUGUAGACCCAUCGGUUUACUUUUGUCAUGUGUACAACGCUUGGCGAAUAAUGUGAGGGCAAGACUGGUGCCAGCCGCCGCGGUAAAACCAGCUCAUAGAGUGGUGAUCAUGAUUAUUUGGCUUAAAGUGUGCGUAGCAGGGAAUUCUAAGUCCUCUGUGAAAUGUCAGGUCUUAAGCUUGACACGUGCAGAGGAUACUGGAAUCCUUGGGACUGGGAUAGGUGUAAUGUACGGUUUGGGUAGGGGUGAAAUCCGAUAAUCCAAGCCGGACAACCGGUGGCGAAGGCGUUACACUGGAACAGGUCCGACUGUGAGGCACGAAAGCUAGGGUCGCGAGCCGGAUUAGAUACCCGGGUAGUCCUAUGCUGUAAACGAUGCUCACUAAGUGUUAGGUAAUGCAAGACAUUCUCUAGUGCCGAAGCGAAAGCGUUAAGUGAGCCGCCUGGAAG